CUCUUCUCCCCGCCGAUCCGUCGCGCGGCAGCGCCGCUUUAAAUCCGGCGCCUCGCCGCCUCCCUCCUCCUCCCCGCCCCGGCCGGUCCCCCCGCCUGCCUCUCUCUCUCUCCGCCGCCGCGGCCGUGACGUCAUGCGCUCGCCGGCGCUGCCGCCUACCAUCCACAACCAGCCAGCCGUAGGCUUGUAUCUAGCCAAUCAGCCCUCGUAGGUGGCCUGUUUUAUAGCUGCUGCCGUCGUUGUCGUCGCGGCUGAGGCGACGUGAGGAUUGGUUAGAGAGGGAACCAGGAUUUGGUUGAGAGGAGGCGGCGGCGGCGGCGGCGAUGGGGCGCGGGAAGGUGCAGCUGAAGCGGAUCGAGAACAAGAUCAACCGCCAGGUGACCUUCUCCAAGCGCCGCGCGGGGCUGCUCAAGAAGGCGCACGAGAUCUCCGUGCUCUGCGACGCCGAGGUCGCGCUCAUCAUCUUCUCCACGAAGGGGAAGCUCUACGAGUACGCCACCGACACAAGUAUGGACAAAAUUCUUGAACGGUAUGAACGCUACUCCUAUGCAGAAAAGGUUCUCAUUUCAGCAGAAUCUGAAACUCAGGGCAACUGGUGCCACGAAUAUAGAAUGCUAAAGGCGAAGGUUGAGACAAUACAGAAAUGUCAAAAGCACCUCAUGGGAGAGGAUCUUGAAACUCUGAAUCUCAAGGAGCUUCAGCAACUAGAGCAGCAGCUAGAGAGUUCACUGAAACAUAUCAGAUCCAGAAAGAGCCAGCUUAUGAUGGAGUCAAUUUCAGAGCUUCAACGGAAGUGUAACAUCUACGCGAAUAUUUCUGGUCCCGUGCUGCACUGACUGCUGGCACGUGCUCCGCAGGAGAAGUCCCUGCAGGAGGAGAACAAGAUUCUGCAGAAGGAGCUCGCAGAGAAGCAGAAAGCCCAGCGACAGCAAGCGCAAUGGGACCAGACUCAACAACAAACCAGCUCGUCUUCCUCGUCCUUCAUGAUGAGAGAAGCUCCCCCAGCAACAAAUAUCAGCAGCUACCCCGUGGCAGCAGGCGGGAGGGUGGAGGGGCCAGCAGCGCAGCCGCAGGCUCGCAUUGGGCUGCCACCGUGGAUGCUUAGCCACAUCAGCAGCUGAACUGAAGGCUUUCCUCUCGCCCGUCUCGGUGUGCAAGCCCAAAAUCCAGCAACGCAACGGUAGUAUGCUCACCCGGCUGCGCCAAUGCUCCACUUGAUGCAUCAUUAUCGUCGAUCUUGUCGUGAUCGCUACCAGCAGCAGCAGCAGUAAGCAGUAAGCAGGGGUUUAUCAUAAUUUGAGCAGCAUAUAAGUUCCAAUCUUCGCUGUGUAUAUUUUGCUUUUGUUCAUCACCAUUUCCGCUGAGGGGACCGUACGAUGAAUAAUUUCCCCCAUGUAAUAUAUAAUAUGCGCAGCAUGAAUGUCAAUCGAGCGGUUUGUCAAUUGAGUCCUGUACAAGUUGCAUCAUUGCUUGUUGUAUUCACAAGACACCUGUGCCUCCGCACUCAAUCCUAUCUGUAGGCUUUGAUUCUUUUAUGUAUCUUCUGCCAUUCUAUAAUGGCCCUGUUUA
Molecule: RNA transcript, 1569 nt
Organism: Panicum virgatum (switchgrass)
Lineage: Eukaryota; Viridiplantae; Streptophyta; Magnoliopsida; Poales; Poaceae
Gene name: MADS-box transcription factor 14
Exons: 8
Source: RefSeq, a predicted model, not a curated record